UUGCAUCAACAAGAAUAAGAUCAACGUUCCCCGAGCGCAGCUGCAGCAAGGCAGCUGGCUGCUAUCGAUCCUAUUAAAUGUACCUCUCCUGCUUCUCUUCCAGCUUUGCCAGGACUCAUUUUCUGACCUUAAUCCUGAUGUUUUCCCUGUUGAGGUGCCACCUGACUCAAUGGUAGACAGAAUACUUCUUACCUUAGCUAUCCACUUAGCUCAGUCUGUAACGUGCUUUGAGCUCUUCAGAUGAAACACCACAGAAGUGCAGGUGUUAUUGAAACACACAGGUGAACCCCACAGCCCAGUUCCCAAUGCAGCCCCAAAGCAGCUUUACUGAUUACAGCAGCAUGGGGCUGGAGUGAAAAGCAGAGGACGAUCAUAAUUUGAGUAUUGCCACCAAAGAUUCAGCAUCUUAAAAGCAAAGCACAAAGGAUUCUGUCUAUCAUCAGGGAAACAGCAAGCCUGAGAAGUCAGAGGAUGCUCAAUUUGUCUGCCACGGUGAAUGAUCCCUGGCUGCUAUGCAAGGAAGUGCAAAGCAGCGAUGUGCAUGAGGGAAGCAUCUGACCGAAUCCCAAGGACAGCUGGGACUGAACUAAUGUUUAUGCACUGCGGAUGCUCAAGGGAAAGGACCCAAAAGUGAAUGGGGAGCCGAGUCAUUUAGGAGGGUGGAGGCACCUUAAAGGGAAAGAGGGGAACCUGGUUGCCAAGAAACUACCUUGGGAAAAAAGCAAACACAAACAACUCCAUGGAUAAACGGAGGGUGGAGGCUGAAAGGAGGCUUCUGACUUGUGGCUAGCUUACUGUACACCCUAGGACUGGGAAGUUAACUGUUUUGUGGUUGAAUUCGGCCAAUUCAGGAUGAGGCUCACACCACAAGGUGGAUGGGGCUGACUCACGAGGCUUCCUUUCAGAACUGACCUCCUCUGUGGGACGGUCCUAAUUGAUGCGGUGCCAUCCUUUCCUCAGCACAGGUACCCCAGGUCUGAGUAUUUCCCUUUACAGGAAUAAUAGUAAAUAUUACAUAAUAGCACCGAUGUAAAAAAAAAAAAUAAAAUAAAUAAGAUAAAAUAAAAUAAUAAAACCAGCAUAAAAUAUGCUUGUAGAAUAAAACCACAAGAUAAAGGGCUUGCUCCCCAGUUAGGAUGGACAGGGCUGGUUCUCACUUCUGUGGCCACAUGAUAGGAACGAAGGAUUUGAUUCAGGUCAAAUUAAUCGCCAAAAAAGGGCUUGAUUUCUUUUUGGACCAGAAGUAUCAUUAGCUCCUUCCUUAUUCUGCUCUUCCAAAAUACUUACUGCUGAACAAGAGAGGAAAAAGGAUGAAUCACUGCAAAUAUUUGGCUGGUUUAGCAGUAGUAAAAGCCUCUCUCCUAUAGCAAUCUCUUCCUCUGUGGGCUCACUUCAGCUUAUUUUAGCUCAGGAAUGAAUGUAUCAAGCAUGUCUCUUGAAAUUCAAGAGAUAAAUACUUUAAUUUAGAAUGAAAGGGCAAAAUAAUGAAGGAGUCUUGGUCUACGUACCUAAAAAUAAACAUGACCAAGUCUUGUUUUCAGGGCAUCGAAUAGUCCACAGGUGACUUUCCUGCAAUUCUAGUAUUUGACGCUACAGCUGCAGUGUAAGAAAAACAACAGAAGCCAAAUGGACUGUGAAACAGUCCUCAUUUAUUGUCGAAAAUAGUCUAGUAUUUGUAUUAUUUUUACUGAGGGAACAUUGUUUGGCAUGGUAGCUUAAAAUAACACUGCCAUUGCUAAUGAAUUUGUUCUCUUAAUUUGUGUUUCCUGUGGAGGAUUGCUCAGGCAGAGAUUGGAGGGAUGCAGGGACUGCAUCCAUCCCCACAAAAACCAGGGCUGCAAACUUUCUUAUAACUUCUGCUAGAAAUAAAUGGAAAAGACUCCAACUCUUCACCAGCUCUAGAGAAAAGAUACUCUCUCAUCUGCAAGGAAAUCAGAAAUAACAUUUAAAUUCCUUACAUUCUAUUGACAAUUUUCAUAUAUUUUAUAUAAAUUUAAUAUUAGUAUCUUUUCCACAGGCACUGUGCCUACUGCUUUCAGACAGUUCAGUGGUUAAGUGGCCCAUAUCAAAGAAA
Anas platyrhynchos (mallard) is the source of this 2074-nucleotide long non-coding RNA. RefSeq lists it as uncharacterized. Lineage: Eukaryota; Metazoa; Chordata; Aves; Anseriformes; Anatidae. The record is from RefSeq and is a predicted model, not a curated record.